CGGACGGGUGAGUAACGCGUGGGUAACCUGCCUCAUACAGGGGGAUAACAGUUAGAAAUGACUGCUAAUACCGCAUAAGCGCACGGGGAUGCAUAUUCUUGUGUGAAAAACUCCGGUGGUAUGAGAUGGACCCGCGUCUGAUUAGCUAGUUGGUGAGGUAACGGCUCACCAAGGCGACGAUCAGUAGCCGACCUGAGAGGGUGGCCGGCCACAUUGGGACUGAGACACGGCCCAAACUCCUACGGAAGGCAGCAG
This 255-nucleotide ribosomal RNA is filed under the name uncultured bacterium. RNAcentral describes it as "partial 16S ribosomal RNA". It matches the Rfam family "Bacterial small subunit ribosomal RNA", at positions 99 to 354 of the family's 1533-position model. The record is from RNAcentral.